Molecule: long non-coding RNA, 691 nt
Organism: Protopterus annectens (West African lungfish)
Lineage: Eukaryota; Metazoa; Chordata; Ceratodontiformes; Protopteridae
Exons: 2
Source: RefSeq, a predicted model, not a curated record
AUUUGGAAUACCGCAGUGUGUGGCACGUGACAGCGGCGGUAGUUGUACCUGUCAUGUGUAUUAUAUAUUUUCUAAAAUAUUAACCUGGGGGACAAGGCUGCCCAGAUCAGAUGGCCCUAGCUAAAAAAGUUUAUUGGAUAUGAAAGUCUUUGAAAGGUUUAAUGUCUUCCAAAAUAUUGAGAAACCUUUCAGGUGAGUCUUUCUCUUCCCAUUGUACAGCAGUGAUCAGGCUGACUCCUAACAUAACUAUAUUUUUUGUUGUUGCCCUGCCUGAUCAUGCCUUAAAAGUGGGCAACUUGAUUAAUGCUUCUCUGCAAAUACAAAGUAACAGAAUAAAUUGGUGACCACAUCAGAAGGUGUCUUUUUUAUGCUUUGCUGUUCUCAUUCCCCAAAACGUCCUGCAACAUUAUGUCUUCAUAGAAUUGAUCAUUAAUGGAGAGCAUGUCAGUGCGAAUUGAACUACCACCUUCUACAAUGAUAACCUGAGUGACUGUCCAAGAAGUACAACUGUAGAAACCAUCUGAAGAUUCAUAGGUUUGAGCAAUAAUUAGCUUGCUAAAUACAACAUGGCUGUUAUAAUCUAGUGGGAGAAGCAAAGGAAACUUCUAAAACCUCUGUUCGUAUUUCUAAUUAGCUGAAGGACAAAGUGCCGAAGGUGGUGAAUUACAGGUGCAAAUAAAGCCUAACUUCA